AAAAAAAAAUGUCAAAAUAAUUUAAAAAAUAAAAAAAAGGAAGGUAGAGAGAGGACUGGGUUUAAGUAAAAGAUGGUUGAUUACUUAAGAGGAAAGGUAGUCAGAAGUUAAAAAGGUAGAGGCUCUGGAAUUAGCAUUCAUUCCACCAAGUUGAUUCGUUGUUUUCAACAAAAAACAUAAUUGUUUUUCUUAUCAUCGAAAGAAGAAGAAGAAGAAGAAGAGGAAGAUUAAAUCUACAACUUUGAUUUCAGUUAUAGAUAUUGUAGUAUAUGUAUAUCUGAUAAUAAAAAAUACUAGGUGAGGAAAGGAGAGUUUCCAGGCUAUAGUGAGCGAUGGUGGAGGAUAAAGGCAUCCCUGAUAGUGAAAGCAAAGAAUCGAGUCCCCCGUCGCCGGUAGUCAAGAAGAAAGGCAAGAGUCCUCUAUAGCAAUUGGAAUGCAAUCUUAGUAUUCACGGGGACGAAUUCGAGAAGAGGCUUGAACACAUUUCCAAGGAAGAGACCGCUGUUCUCGUGCGAAUGAUAAAAAGAUCCCAGUCUUGGAGGAGAAUGAUUGGGCAUCUCAUUCCUUUUGGAGGUUUGCGACUGGUGGAGGCGACCGCAGUUGCAGAUUUUUACUAGCAUGCGUAGACUACAAUGAUAUGACCAGAGACUAUCUAAUUUUUUUGACAAACAGCAUCUUCUGUUUGUGUAUAUGUAAAUCGGUCUAUUAUCUUUUGUUCUUGAAUAUCACUGUUUUUGCAUUGUCUUAAAUGCAGGUUCGAAUAUGGAACAUGAAAUCUGUUGGCAGGGACUUGGAAAAUGAUGAAUCUACAAUUGCAACCUUGCGAGAUCAUUUUGGGUUUGUUAACUGUGUUAGGUGGGCUAAGCAUGGUUGAUUUUUGUAUCAAGGUUUGAUGAUCAAGUGGUUCUAAUUCAUGAGAGAAAGCCUGGUCUUGGGAUGACUGAUUUCGGCAGCAGAAAGCCCCCAGAUGUUGAAAAUUGGAAAGUUGCAAUGACGUUGAGGGGACACACUGCAUAUGUGGCAAUGAUAUUGUUUUUAAUGUUAGAACAUAGAGCCACUGAUAAGAGCUAACUCUUUAUCAUUGUGUUGCAUGUUGAUUGAUUUUUCAUUCUUGAAAAAGCAUCUAAUUUUACCUGGAAACUCAGUUUUUGCAACAUUUUCUCAGUACAAAUUUGCUAAUGGCUAUAGUUUUUAAGUAUGUGUUUAUUUUGAUUUUGUAAGAAGGGAGGAGGGGUUGAGGGUUGGAAAGAAGGUAAAGAAGAAAGAAUACAAGGUCGAAAUCCUCUACUGUAAUGUCAUAUGUAGCCCCCUUAAUUUAUUGUAUUGGUUUCUGAUAAGCAUUGGAUAUUAUGUGACUGAAAACUUUCUUUUAUUCUGCGCUUGAAGUAGGUGGAUCUUAAUUGGUCUCCUGACUGGAUUUAGUUUUAAUUGUUUUCUGCAUGAUUGAAUUAAUCUGUGCUUUUAGAAAAGGAAGCACAAGUGGAUGAAGAUUAAUGAAGAAUGAUAGAGUCAAAGGUCUUCUAUGUCACCAAAUACCACCAUGUCAGCUAAGAUCAUAGCUUAGAGUUUAUGCUGAGACAUUCUACUUCUGCACAGACAAAGUACACCGAAACACACACAGAAAACACAUACACACAAAGGCAAGCAUGCAUACUAGGCAGACAUGUACAAUUCAAAUUCAUCUGCUGUGUAUUAACUAUAAAUACAUUCCAAUGCUGACUUGAUGAUUAUUGUUGGUGGGAAUAUGCCUAAAAAAUCAGUCAUUUUCGAACUUUCAUUAUUCGAACGUGGCAUUCAUUGGCAUUUUGCUCAUGCCAUUAUCAC
Molecule: non-coding RNA, 1824 nt
Organism: Durio zibethinus
Lineage: Eukaryota; Viridiplantae; Streptophyta; Magnoliopsida; Malvales; Malvaceae
Source: RefSeq, a predicted model, not a curated record